GCUAUAGCAUUGGGGGGUGAUGCUGGCCGACUUCGUCCGCCGGAUUCGGAAUGCCGCGAGACUUUGCGAGGGGCCUCCAUGUGCUAAAAAUAGGCCGCGGGCAAAGCCGCGCCCAAAAAUAACCGCCCGACAGCCGGGGCGCCAAGUUCGUCCAGCGGAAAAAGGCCACAAAAACGGGUGGACUAUAGCCUUGGGGGGUGGGGCUGGCCAACUUCGUCCGCCGGACUCGGAAUGCCGCGAGACUUUGCGAGGGGCCUCCGUGUGCCAAAAAUAGGCCGG
RNAcentral lists this long non-coding RNA (279 nucleotides) under Citrus x clementina. RNAcentral describes it as "Citrus clementina (C. clementina) long non-coding RNA (CCLE_LNC005855)". Lineage: Eukaryota; Viridiplantae; Streptophyta; Magnoliopsida; Sapindales; Rutaceae. The record is from RNAcentral.